Molecule: ribosomal RNA, 526 nt
Filed under: uncultured bacterium
Lineage: Bacteria
Description: bacterial SSU rRNA
Rfam family: Bacterial small subunit ribosomal RNA
Source: RNAcentral
ACAUCCAGCGAACUUGGCAGAGAUGCCUUGGUGCCUUCGGGAACGCUGAGACAGGUGCUGCAUGGCUGUCGUCAGCUCGUGUUGUGAAAUGUUCGGGUUAAGUCCCGNAACGAGCGCAACCCUUAUCCUUUGUUGCCAGCGAUUCGGUCGGGAACUCAAAGGAGACUGCCGGUGAUAAACCGGAGGAAGGUGGGGAUGACGUCAAGUCAUCAUGGCCCUUACGAGUAGGGCUACACACGUGCUACAAUGGCGCAUACAAAGAGAAGCGACCUCGCGAGAGCAAGCGGACCUCAUAAAGUGCGUCGUAGUCCGGAUCGGAGUCUGCAACUCGACUCCGUGAAGUCGGAAUCGCUAGUAAUCGUGGAUCAGAAUGCCACGGUGAAUACGUUCCCGGGCCUUGUACACACCGCCCGUCACACCAUGGGAGUGGGUUGCAAAAGAAGUAGGUAGCUUAACCUUCGGGAGGGCGCUUACCACUUUGUGAUUCAUGACUGGGGUGAAGUCGUAACAAGGUAGGCGUAGCGAG